This is a non-coding RNA of Gopherus flavomarginatus (Mexican gopher tortoise), 514 nucleotides long. NCBI's taxonomy places the organism in Eukaryota, Metazoa, Chordata, Testudines, Testudinidae. The record is from the annotation of a RefSeq genome assembly.
AGCCAGAACAAUUCCAAGAGACAUGGUGGCAUUUCUGGAAUUUCUCUUCGCUUGCCUCUUGCCACCUGUGUUGUGGGCCAUUCACCUGGACCAGGUCCCAAUCUCCAUCACAAAGGAGCCAUAUGAGGAGAGCACUGCUGAAUUCACCUGCAAAUUGUCUGGUGGGUCGGACUCUACCUAUAUCCAUUGGUACCGAGCCCCAGCUGGAGGGGCACCGCAGAGGCUGCUCUACCUUUCUUACUCCAAGCCUGACCCCAGCUGGGACGCCGGCUUGUCCAGCAAGAAACUCACCGCCCAUUUUCAAGGCCGUAGCAUCUGCAAACUCUUGUUGCACAAGCUGGAGAAGGCAGACAGCGGCCACUAUUACUGUGCUGCAUGGGAUUAUACACAGUGCCACAAACUUCCUGCAGCCCUGCACAAAAAAACCCUCAACAACAACAAAACCACACACAGCACAGCCUGGGCUCAGCUCUCACUUUAUGGCAGCAGUUCGGCGGCAGGUCCUUCCCUCUGA